UACGGAGGGAGCUAGCGUUGUUCGGAAUUACUGGGCGUAAAGCGCACGUAGGCGGACUUGUCAGUCAGGGGUGAAAUCCCAAGGCUCAACCUUGGAACUGCCUCCGAUACAGCGAGUCUUGAGAUCGGGAGAGGUGAGUGGAAUUCCUAGUGUAGAGGUGAAAUUCGUAGAUAUUAGGAAGAACACCAGUGGCGAAGGCGGCUCUCUGGCCCGAUACUGACGCUGAGGUGCGAAAGCGUGGGGAGCAAACAGG
This 253-nucleotide ribosomal RNA is filed under the name uncultured bacterium. RNAcentral describes it as "partial 16S ribosomal RNA". It matches the Rfam family "Bacterial small subunit ribosomal RNA", at positions 524 to 776 of the family's 1533-position model. The record is from RNAcentral.